UGCGUAGGCGGGCUAAUAAGUCAGUGGUGAAAUCUUCCGGCUCAACCGGGAACCUGCCAUUGAUACUGUUAGUCUUGAGUUCGGUUGAGGUAGGCGGAAUGUGUAACGUAGCGGUGAAAUGCUUAGAUAUUACACAGAACACCAAUUGCGUAGGCAGCUUACUAGACCGACACUGACGCUGAGGCACGAAAGCGUGGGGAGCGAACAGGAUUAGAUACCCUGGUAGUCC
This 229-nucleotide ribosomal RNA is filed under the name uncultured bacterium. RNAcentral describes it as "partial 16S ribosomal RNA". It matches the Rfam family "Bacterial small subunit ribosomal RNA", at positions 568 to 796 of the family's 1533-position model. The record is from RNAcentral.